CUCACUCACUCACUCAACUAACUAUUGGAUAAAUGACUCGCAUUCUUCCCUUGGUGAAGUCAUGAAGGAUACAGAGUAGACUCGCAUUCUUCCCUCGGUGAAGUCAUGAAGGACACAGAGAAUGGUCUAUUUUCUGUCCUGCGGACAAUACAAACCGGCCCUGGGUUGGAAGGCUUCCUCUCCUGGCACUGCUCCUGUCAGACUCCGCUCCUGGAGCCCUCUCAGAAUUCAGCUUGCGUCCCCCUCCUGGGCUUCUUCCAGGCCGUGCUGCCUCCGGCUGUGGACCCUGCAUGUGCAUCCCCACUCUUGCAUUACCAGAAAGCCAUCCUGUCAUCUGCCCACAGCCUUACCAGCAUCUGUCUUCCUGUCCCAUCUGGAAAGUGGGACCAGUCACCGUUACCUCCUUGAGGAGGGAAAUCUGCUCUGAGCUACUGCAUGACUGAAACAGUGGGAAGGCACACAGCUAAGUGUGAUUGAUUUAGUGCAAAGAGGUCCAUUUAACUUCAACCAACACGUGGGGGGUUUUUUUUUCUCUCUAUUCAAGUUGCUUGAAGAUCACCAACUGGUGGUUCUGGAAGC
Bos taurus (domestic cattle) is the source of this 579-nucleotide long non-coding RNA. Lineage: Eukaryota; Metazoa; Chordata; Mammalia; Artiodactyla; Bovidae. The record is from Ensembl.